Transfer RNA from Camelus ferus (Wild Bactrian camel), 72 nucleotides. It matches the Rfam family "tRNA". From Rfam's summary of the family: Transfer RNA (tRNA) molecules are approximately 80 nucleotides in length. Lineage: Eukaryota; Metazoa; Chordata; Mammalia; Artiodactyla; Camelidae. The record is from Rfam.
GAGGGUAUAGCUCAGUGGUAGAGUGCCUGCUUAGCACGCAUGAGGUUCUGGGGUCAAUCUCCAGUAUCUCCA